AUCUCCCAUAGUGCUCCAUUGUUGAAUAUACCAACUCAUACUCGUAUUGUACUUUUCUUUAAUGUGUUAAUUUCCCAGUGAUAGAACAUGGUUGGUGAUUAAAAAAAAAAGCAUGGUUAGUUUAUAUAUAAGCAUGACCGGAAUAUAGUAUACUUUUCAGAAGCUAUCAAUUUGAGAUAGGAGAAAAAAGUUUAUAAGCAUGAGCAGAAAAACGUGUUCUCUCGUCCCAUCAUGAUUCAACAAUUGUUAUAUAUUAGUAUUGGAAUGAAAUACUAAAAAUUUCCAAAGGCUAAUUAAGUUCUACAAAAGCCGCCCUUCCCUAACCACAGAAAGGCACUGAUGUUAGAAGGACCCUCUCGCAUCUGGCCAUU
This is a long non-coding RNA of Arabidopsis thaliana (thale cress), 371 nucleotides long. RefSeq annotates it as other RNA. The transcript has a single exon. NCBI's taxonomy places the organism in Eukaryota, Viridiplantae, Streptophyta, Magnoliopsida, Brassicales, Brassicaceae. The record is from RefSeq.